CUAAUCUGCGAUAAGCGUCGGUAAGGUUAUAUGAACCGUUAUAACCGGCGAUUUCCGAAUGGGGAAACCCAGUGUGAUUCGUCACACUAUCAUUAACUGAAUCCAUAGGUUAAUGAGGCGAACCGGGGGAACUGAAACAUCUAAGUACCCCGAGGAAAAGAAAUCAACCGAGAUUCCCCCAGUAGCGGCGAGCGAACGGGGAGCAGCCCAGAGCCUGAAUCAGUGUGUGUGUUAGUGGAAGCGUCUGGAAAGGCGCGCGAUACAGGGUGACAGCCCCGUACACAAAAAUGCACAUGCUGUGAGCUCGAUGAGUAGGGCGGGACACGUGGUAUCCUGUCUGAAUAUGGGGGGACCAUCCUCCAAGGCUAAAUACUCCUGACUGACCGAUAGUGAACCAGUACCGUGAGGGAAAGGCGAAAAGAACCCCGGCGAGGGGAGUGAAAAAGAACCUGAAACCGUGUACGUACAAGCAGUGGGAGCACGCUUAGGCGUGUGACUGCGUACCUUUUGUAUAAUGGGUCAGCGACUUAUAUUCUGUAGCAAGGUUAACCGAAUAGGGGAGCCGAAGGGAAACCGAGUCUUAACUGGGCGUUAAGUUGCAGGGUAUAGACCCGAAACCCGGUGAUCUAGCCAUGGGCAGGUUGAAGGUUGGGUAACACUAACUGGAGGACCGAACCGACUAAUGUUGAAAAAUUAGCGGAUGACUUGUGGCUGGGGGUGAAAGGCCAAUCAAACCGGGAGAUAGCUGGUUCUCCCCGAAAGCUAUUUAGGUAGCGCCUCGUGAAUUCAUCUCCGGGGGUAGAGCACUGUUUCGGCAAGGGGGUCAUCCCGACUUACCAACCCGAUGCAAACUGCGAAUACCGGAGAAUGUUAUCACGGGAGACACACGGCGGGUGCUAACGUCCGUCGUGAAGAGGGAAACAACCCAGACCGCCAGCUAAGGUCCCAAAGUCAUGGUUAAGUGGGAAACGAUGUGGGAAGGCCCAGACAGCCAGGAUGUUGGCUUAGAAGCAGCCAUCAUUUAAAGAAAGCGUAAUAGCUCACUGGUCGAGUCGGCCUGCGCGGAAGAUGUAACGGGGCUAAACCAUGCACCGAAGCUGCGGCAGCGACGCUGAUGCGUUGUUGGGUAGGGGAGCGUUCUGUAAGCCUGCGAAGGUGUGCUGUGAGGCAUGCUGGAGGUAUCAGAAGUGCGAAUGCUGACAUAAGUAACGAUAAAGCGGGUGAAAAGCCCGCUCGCCGGAAGACCAAGGGUUCCUGUCCAACGUUAAUCGGGGCAGGGUGAGUCGACCCCUAAGGCGAGGCCGAAAGGCGUAGUCGAUGGGAAACAGGUUAAUAUUCCUGUACUUGGUGUUACUGCGAAGGGGGGACGGAGAAGGCUAUGUUGGCCGGGCGACGGUUGUCCCGGUUUAAGCGUGUAGGCUGGUUUUCCAGGCAAAUCCGGAAAAUCAAGGCUGAGGCGUGAUGACGAGGCACUACGGUGCUGAAGCAACAAAUGCCCUGCUUCCAGGAAAAGCCUCUAAGCAUCAGGUAACAUCAAAUCGUACCCCAAACCGACACAGGUGGUCAGGUAGAGAAUACCAAGGCGCUUGAGAGAACUCGGGUGAAGGAACUAGGCAAAAUGGUGCCGUAACUUCGGGAGAAGGCACGCUGAUAUGUAGGUGAAGUCCCUCGCGGAUGGAGCUGAAAUCAGUCGAAGAUACCAGCUGGCUGCAACUGUUUAUUAAAAACACAGCACUGUGCAAACACGAAAGUGGACGUAUACGGUGUGACGCCUGCCCGGUGCCGGAAGGUUAAUUGAUGGGGUUAGCGCAAGCGAAGCUCUUGAUCGAAGCCCCGGUAAACGGCGGCCGUAACUAUAACGGUCCUAAGGUAGCGAAAUUCCUUGUCGGGUAAGUUCCGACCUGCACGAAUGGCGUAAUGAUGGCCAGGCUGUCUCCACCCGAGACUCAGUGAAAUUGAACUCGCUGUGAAGAUGCAGUGUACCCGCGGCAAGACGGAAAGACCCCGUGAACCUUUACUAUAGCUUGACACUGAACAUUGAGCCUUGAUGUGUAGGAUAGGUGGGAGGCUUUGAAGUGUGGACGCCAGUCUGCAUGGAGCCGACCUUGAAAUACCACCCUUUAAUGUUUGAUGUUCUAACGUUGACCCGUAAUCCGGGUUGCGGACAGUGUCUGGUGGGUAGUUUGACUGGGGCGGUCUCCUCCUAAAGAGUAACGGAGGAGCACGAAGGUUGGCUAAUCCUGGUCGGACAUCAGGAGGUUAGUGCAAUGGCAUAAGCCAGCUUGACUGCGAGCGUGACGGCGCGAGCAGGUGCGAAAGCAGGUCAUAGUGAUCCGGUGGUUCUGAAUGGAAGGGCCAUCGCUCAACGGAUAAAAGGUACUCCGGGGAUAACAGGCUGAUACCGCCCAAGAGUUCAUAUCGACGGCGGUGUUUGGCACCUCGAUGUCGGCUCAUCACAUCCUGGGGCUGAAGUAGGUCCCAAGGGUAUGGCUGUUCGCCAUUUAAAGUGGUACGCGAGCUGGGUUUAGAACGUCGUGAGACAGUUCGGUCCCUAUCUGCCGUGGGCGCUGGAGAAUUGAGGGGGGCUGCUCCUAGUACGAGAGGACCGGAGUGGACGCAUCACUGGUGUUCGGGUUGUCAUGCCAAUGGCACUGCCCGGUAGCUAAAUGCGGAAGAGAUAAGUGCUGAAAGCAUCUAAGCACGAAACUUGCCCCGAGAUGAGUUCUCCCUGACUCCUUGAGAGUCCUGAAGGAACGUUGAAGACGACGACGUUGAUAGGCCGGGUGUGUAAGCGCAGCGAUGCGUUGAGCUAACCGGUACUAAUGAACCGUGAGGCUUAACCUUACAACGCCGAAGCUGUU
Molecule: ribosomal RNA, 2861 nt
Filed under: Escherichia coli
Lineage: Bacteria; Pseudomonadati; Pseudomonadota; Gammaproteobacteria; Enterobacterales; Enterobacteriaceae
Description: bacterial LSU rRNA
Rfam family: Bacterial large subunit ribosomal RNA
Source: RNAcentral